AAAUAUUAUCACAACGUAACUUUGGUCCAUGUGCAAAAGUGGUGGUUUUAAGGAAUCAAAGACACAUGGAUUGCUUGAGCAUCAAGUCUGUUACAUUGAUGACAGUCCUUUUUGUGCUUAUCUGUAGAUAUAUCUGAAUAUGCCCAUAUUUUGCAGGAGACAGAUCAUCUUACUGAGGAUCAUGGAGUCCAGUGCUACAACUUACUGAAGAUUACCAUAUUCUGUGCAAUUUGGUCACUGAGCAAGACACAUAAUUGCAACCACAAUCCGUGUCCAAAAUGGUCUGCAUAAACAGAUAUGCCGAGCACUUGCUUAUAUACAUAAUUAAUUAUAUUGUCAUCUGCCACCAUGAUAUCAAACCACAGAACAUUCUUGUUAACCUACAUAACAUGAGCUCAAAAUCUGAAUCUGUGAUUUUGGCAGUGCAAAAGUCUUGGUAAGUUAUCUUCUAUAAUAAGGUAGAAAUUUAAAUGCUUGAGUACUGCUGGUUUUGAAAAGAACAUGCUAAACUUUCUUGAUAAGAACAAAAAAAAGGGUGUGCACUUAUGCUAGUAACCUACCCAGAAUGAUGAUUUCUAAAUUGUUUUCAAAGUAAUGCUUUGCAUAUAUCUCCUACAUUUACUCAAGAUAUUACCGAGCAGCAGAACUAUAUUUGGUGCAACUGAAUGUACUACUGCCAUUAUUUUGUUGUGGUUUUGUUCACUGCAGACUGAAUAUCUGCUCUGUCAUGGCAGAACUGCUUCCCCCAUAGGUUUUUUCAUUCAUGCAUAUAGUCUUUUACUCCCUCCGUCUCCAAAUAAGUGUUGCUGAUUUAGUAAAACAUUAGUACAAAGUUGUACUAAAUCAACGACGCUUAUUUUGGGACGGAGGGAGUAUUUUACUCUCUAGCUUGUUCUCACAGUGUUCAUCCAUCCAUGCAGCCUCUUUUUCCUGGGGGAAAGUGGAGUUGAUCAACCGGUUGUGAUUACCAAGUGCGUCGCAGGUCUUGGGGUACUCCAACCAGGGAAGAGAUCAAGAGCAUGAAUCCAAACUACACGUUGUUCAAGUUCCCGCAAAUUAAGGCUCAUCCAUGGCACAAGGAGACCGAGCCAGAUGUGGUUGCAGAUUCGGGUGCUGAAGAUGGUCACAUAUUUGCAAGCACAAUCCGUGGCCAAAAUGGUCUGCCUAAACAGAAAAGAGGGGUGCAGGUGCCAAACAUGCCGCGUCAGGUGUCUAGGAAGCUUAACCAAGUCCAGUGAGAGCUGAAUAUCUCCUACAUUUGCACAAGAUAUUACAGAGCACCAGAACUGAUAUUAGGUUCCCGCAAAAAAAAAAAGAACUGAUAUUAGGUGCAACUGAAUAUACUGCUGACAUGGAUUUGUUCUUUUUUUUUUACGGCAGACUGAAUAUCUGCUAUGUCACAGCAGAACUGCUUCUCGGGCAGGUUUUAUUCAUGCAUAUAGUCUUUCAUUUUCUUUCUAGCUUGUUCUCAAAAUAUUUAUCCAUUCACACAUCCUCUUUUUUCCUAGGGAAAGUGGAGUUGAUCAGUUGGUUGAGCUUAUCAAGUGCGUCGCAGGUCUUGGGAUACUCCAACAAGGGAAGAGAUCAAGUGCAUAAACCCAAACUACACGAAGUUCGAGUUCUCCUGAAUUAAGACUCGUCCGUGGCACAAGAUGUGGUUGCAGAUCCUGGUGCUGAAGCUGGUCACAUAACUGCUACCACAAUCUGUCGCCGAAAUGGUCUGCCCAAACAGGUAGACUUCUGAGUUCUGACAUUUGCGUUGUCUGAACUGGUCUAUGCUCAACUGAUUGUCGAAGGCAUAUAACCUGUUAUUGUCAACUCUUCAGGCCAAAUGUCGAGAAACGGGUUCCCAUAAAAAAAGGUUCUCCAAAACAAGCGAUACAAAAACAGGGAAUUGCAAAUUAGGCAUAUGCUUGAUCAUCCUAACAUUGUUGGUCUUAAGCAUUACUUCUUUUUAACCACCGAAAGGGAUGAGCUUUAUCACAUUCUUGUCCUUGAGUUUGUUCCAGAGACAGUAAACCGGAUGCUAGAUUGUACAACAGAAUGAAUCACUCAAAGAGUGCCCCUAAUUUAUGUCAAACUAUACACUUAUUAUGUCUGACAUGACUUGGCAGUUACUUUUUUGAACGAUGUUAUGCUUUGCACAAUUGUCCUCCAUCUUUAAUGUUCUACAAAAACUUUUUAAUAAUCUUUGCACUAGGCAUACUUGUUACCAAAAUUAUCUACAUGCUGUCAUGUGGAGCUCGUGGUACAUAAUUUUCUUGGUUACCAAAUACCGAGUACAUUCGUAUAUGAUAUGUUCCCUGCUUAGUUGCAUCACUUUUUUGUCCCCAUUCCUGCUCUACUCUAAACUUAUGUUCCAAUAGUUGAAUACUGUAUUGGGACCUAUCUACAAGUCUCAGGUUAGUUAUUCACAUUGAUGGUUUCACUAACAAUCUAAAAUAAAUUCUGAGAAAUUCAAACAUACAACUGAUCCAGCCUGUCCGUUCUACUGUGUUUGGAUAUAUGUUCUAGUGCUCCCUCCGAUCCAAAUUAAUUGAAGCAGCUUUAGUAAAGUUGUACUAAGGCUGCGUUAAUUAAUUUGCAUCGGAGGGAGUAUAACUUUCUUCUUGUAUGUUUAGUUAAUCAUAAGGUCCCAUUUUCUUACUACCUCCGUCCCUAAAUAUAUGGCAUAUAAAUUCUGUCAAAAAGUCAAUGCUUUCUAAGUUUGACCAAGUAUAUAUACAAAAAUAUGACGAUAAACAAUACCAAAUCAAAAUCAACAUAUCCACCAUUAGAUACAUUUUCAUAUAAUCUACUUAUUCAAAUUGUGAUAGUUGACAUUUUCUUCUAUAUAUUUGGUCAACUUAGAAAGAAUUGACUUUUGGACUGAAUUUAUACGUAUCAUUUGGGGACAGAGGGAGUAGUACAUAUUCACACAGGUAAGUCCUUUUUUUCCUGAGAUAAGUAUUUGCACAUUUUUGUGGUAGUGCAGACACGAUAGACCAUCUACUGUAUGCUUCAGCUAAUUCUUAAUUCUGCUGAUUUUGUUCUUACUACAGAUAAAAUUUAGUUAAUGAGUUGUGCCAUACAUCUGUAAUCUGUUUGGUCUUUGUAGUUGUUUAAGUCAGAAAUAUAAGGUCCCGGCCAUGCAACAGAAAUUUUCCUUCAGUUAUUUUUUGAUAUGAUUGUUAUAAUCAUCGUCUAAUCAUUGUUCCUGUAAUCUCAUAACUUUGCGGAUAUGCCAAGCAUUUGCUUAUAUACAUAAUUGUGUUGGCAUUUUCUUAUACGCAGCCUCCUUUUCCUGGGUAAAGCGGAGUUGAUCAACCGGUUGUGAUUAUCAAGGUCUUGGGAUACUCCAACAAGACAAGAGAUCAAGUGCAUGAGUCCAAACUACACAGAGUUCAAGUUCCCGUGAAUUAAGGCUCAUCCAUGGCACAAGGUAAUAUGCAUAUAUUAUGAGUUUUUUUUAGUAUGUCCAAAAAUGCUGCACGGGCAUGUUGUUUAAUCUAGCAUGAACUAAUAUGAGUGCUGAAAAAACAAUUUAGAGUUUCUCAGAAAUUCCCGCCAAGAAAUUCCUCAGAUAUUUAACAAAAAAGGAAAAUUAAUUGCAGCGAACAAAAAUGAAAAGCUGAUGCAACCUAAAAGAAAAGAAAAGGCCACAUGAGACAGAUGUUUCUCAGAUGGGCCGGGUUCUUUGUGUCCAGCAAGCAGCAGCCAAACCUCACGGGCCAGCACCCACGAGGGUAGCUCCUAUACGGCGCUGCAGGCGCCCGUUCGCGCUCCUGGCGCCUGCAGCGCCCCGUGUUGGCCGGCCCACGAAACAUGCAGACCAGCGAACGCAAAAAAACUUAACAAAAAAACGCAAGAAAAAUUGCUCUCUACCGGUUUCGCACUCACCAUCUCCAGUUCAGGUACAGGUGCCACAAGCCACACGAGCUAAACGCCGUAUGUGAUUAGUAACAGAGGCAGAUACUUAAUAUAAGGACGCAGCGCUAUGUUAUUGCACAGAACAAUUCAUCUAAUUGAAAGAAGUUCACUAAUUCGAGAAAAAAGUUCAUAAAUUUGAAAAAGU
Molecule: long non-coding RNA, 4054 nt
Organism: Triticum aestivum (bread wheat)
Lineage: Eukaryota; Viridiplantae; Streptophyta; Magnoliopsida; Poales; Poaceae
Exons: 12
Source: RefSeq, a predicted model, not a curated record